UACGUAGGUGGCGAACGUUAUCCGGAAUUAUUGGGCGUAAAGGGUGCGUAGGUGGCUUGAUAAGUUAGCAGUGGGAAAUCGAGGCUCAACCUCGUGGAAGCUGGUAAUACUGUCAGGCUCGAGUGCAGGAGAGGUUAACGGAACUCCAUGUGGAGCGGUAAAAUGUGUAGAUAUAUGGAAGAACACCAAUAACGGCGAAGGCAGUUAACUAUUCUGUUACUGACAUUGAGGCACGAAAGCGUGGGGAGCAAAACGG
RNAcentral lists this ribosomal RNA (256 nucleotides) under uncultured bacterium. RNAcentral's name for it is "partial 16S ribosomal RNA". It matches the Rfam family "Bacterial small subunit ribosomal RNA", at positions 524 to 776 of the family's 1533-position model. The record is from RNAcentral.